CCGUACCCAGACUCCUACGGGAGGCAGCAGUAGGGAAUCUUCGGCAAUGGGGGCAACCCUGACCGAGCAACGCCGCGUGAGUGAAGAAGGUUUUCGGAUCGUAAAGCUCUGUUGUAAGUCAAGAACGGGUGUGAGAGUGGAAAGUUCACACCUUGACGGUACCUAACCAGAAAGCCACGGCUAACUACGUGCCAGCAGCCGCGGUAAUACGUAGGUGGCAAGCGUUAUCCGGAAUUAUUGGGCGUAAAGCGCGCGCAGGUGGUUUCUUAAGUCUGAUGUGAAAGCCCACGGCUCAACCGUGGAGGGUCAUUGGAAACUGGGAGACUUGAGUGCAGAAGAGGAAAGUGGAAUUCCAUGUGUAGCGGUGAAAUGCGUAGAGAUAUGGAGGAACACCAGUGGCGAAGGCGACUUUCUGGUCUGUAACUGACACUGAGGCGCGAAAGCGUGGGGAGCAAACAGGAUUAGAUACCCUGGUAGUCCACGCCGUAAACGAUGAGUGCUAAGUGUUAGAGGGUUUCCGCCCUUUAGUGCUGAA
Molecule: ribosomal RNA, 535 nt
Filed under: uncultured Bacillus sp.
Lineage: Bacteria; Bacillati; Bacillota; Bacilli; Caryophanales; Bacillaceae
Description: bacterial SSU rRNA
Rfam family: Bacterial small subunit ribosomal RNA
Source: RNAcentral